This 454-nucleotide ribosomal RNA is filed under the name uncultured bacterium. Its description in RNAcentral is "bacterial SSU rRNA". It matches the Rfam family "Bacterial small subunit ribosomal RNA", at positions 340 to 786 of the family's 1533-position model. The record is from RNAcentral.
UACGGAAGGCAGCAGUGGGGAAUAUUGCACAAUGGGCGCAAGCCUGAUGCAGCCAUGCCGCGUGUAUGAAGAAGGCCUUCGGGUUGUAAAGUACUUUCAGUCGUGAGGAAGGUGUUAAGGUUAAUAACCUUAGCAAUUGACGUUAGCGACAGAAGAAGCACCGGCUAACUCCGUGCCAGCAGCCGCGGUAAUACGGAGGGUGCGAGCGUUAAUCGGAAUUACUGGGCGUAAAGGGCACGCAGGCGGUUAAUUAAGUUGGAUGUGAAAUCCCCGGGCUUAACCUGGGAAUGGCAUUCAAGACUGGUUAGCUAGAGUCUUGUAGAGGGGGUAGAAUUCCAUGUGUAGCGGUGAAAUGCGUAGAGAUGUGGAGGAAUACCGGUGGCGAAGGCGGCCCCUGGGACAAAGACCGACGCUCAUGUGCGAAAGCGUGGGGAGCAAACAGGGAUUAGAUACC